This is a non-coding RNA of Meleagris gallopavo (turkey), 6790 nucleotides long. The record is from RefSeq and is a predicted model, not a curated record. Lineage: Eukaryota; Metazoa; Chordata; Aves; Galliformes; Phasianidae.
UGGGUAAACUUUGUGGUCCUUUCUUGCAGGCUUUGCUGUAGCCCAGUGUAUAAAUCAGCACCAUCCAUCACCACUCUCUUCUCCGUCGCCGUCCAGUGGCAGUGGGAGUACAGGGCGGUGUGAUUCAGUGGCUGCAAGCUCAGCUUCCACUCCUUCUGUUGCACAGAGUCCAUCAGAUGACUCUUCAGCUCCCGAGCAGCCCCGCACGACCGUUUCUGGUCAGAUGACGUUGACUGAUGAAACUCUUUCCGCUGUCUCAAAGUCUAGCAAGAGUGCUGUAAAAAACAGUGACAUAGAAACAGCAAACCUGUCCCCUAGCCUGAUUCCUGCACAGCAGCCCACAAUAUCAUUAAUAUCAGAUGACAAUACAGAUGCACUAAGUGUAGAGUCACUUACACUGGUCCCACCGGUCGAUUCGCACAGUAUUCGUACGUUCAGCUGCAUUCCUCAGCCAUCUUUGCAGUCUGAGCUUGAAGUUUGCAAGGUAAAAGAGAUAGAAGACGAAUGUUCUGACUAAGUCUACCCACAGACUGUGAUAAACAGUGACGCAAAUUAACCAAAUUCUUCAUUGUAUUUUUUUUUCUUCGGGAGCACAAGAUACUUCCUGCAGCAUCAGAGACAUCUGGUCUGCAAGAAGAGGCCCGGCGAAGAAAGAAUGUGGGCAGCUUUUAGAAUAAGUAUCAGAUGUUUGGCAUAUUUAAACUAGGGGAAGAAAAGAAACUGGAUCGGACAUUUCCCUACGCAUUUCUGUUGUACAAGAGCACCUACUUUCUUCCCAUUAUCAAAUAAAGAUCCAGCUGCAGUAACCUUGUAGUCAAAGACCUACAGUGCUAAGGCAAAGCGAAGACAUUUUUGGAUACCUGGCUUCAAGAUGUUGAAUUGCUACUUCUUUGAAACUGGAGACACAUUGUUCACCAGGCAGAAGUGUAAAUUAUAGUACAGAGAUUCCAUUUCCAUUUGUUUCAUGUUUUUUAUUCUGAUCUCAUUCAGCUUUUGGAGGCCUCUAUGAUACCAGCAGGCUCGUCCCCUUUCUGUGUUGUGUUCACAGGACUCCAAAGUUCAGUGCUUUGUUUUCCAUGUGUAAUAUUUAUUUCAAAGUCUGAUUCAAAGCAAGAUGCAUCUAAAAAUAUUUUUUUCAUAAGUAAAACUCUGAAAAUAUGACAAUUGCUUAGUCAUAUGAUUGCAAGACAUUUUUGAAACAUUUGUAGUCUUUGCUUAACUAGCUACAAAGAUAAGAAAUAUUUUAAUAUCUACUGCUUGUUUGCUCAUUUCUGACAGUCAAAUUGCUACACCUCUGAGGAAUGAUAGUAUGAUGAUAUCCUUUCUACUGAAGAACAGCUAGAAGCAGACAGAGGCACUUUUAUUCUUAAGAGGUUUGGGGGGUUUUGUUAUUGGAGAUCUUGUUGGUUUCUUUGGAUUUUUAUUUUUUUUUUGUCUGUUUGUUUCUCAUCUUCGCAUGGGAAUAAUUCUAGUAAUUUCUUUGCAAGUCUGAAAAUGAAAGAGAAAGCUAUUGUUUUGGUUGUUGUUGUUUUUGUUUUUUUUUUCCUGUUUGAAAGUAUCACCAAAAGAAAUUACAGCAUAAAAGCAGUCGGGUUUGUUUGCCUUACUUUGCCUCAUAUAUCUUGAAUCUGAUUUGACAGUAAGCAGUGAAGAAAUGUGAAUUAAAGUUUGGAAUGCUCUUUGCUGAUUUUUAUACAUAAUUUACUGUGAAUGGUAAAUUUUUAAGCUUUCUGAUCAAUUUCCAUACAUAUUAAGCUAAGCUAGUAUAAAAGAACAGCAGUGUCAUUAUUGGUCUGCGUUUUACACUGAGUGCUGUCAAACAUUGAAGUCUACUGUAAACUUGCUGUUGUGAUUUCCAUCAUCAGUUCAAUCAGUUUCCUGGUUCUGCCUCUACUAACAUUGAUUUCUUAUUAAAUAGGUGAAUCUGAAAAGUUCUUGCCUACUUUCCCAUCUUAAGAUAUCUCUUCCUUGCUGUCAGGUGGAAUACUUGAUUUGUGUGUUACAUUUAUGAGAUUUAAUAAUCCACGAGUGUAUCUUGACUCACUUUUCAAUCUUUUCCUUCAUGUAAAACAUGUAUAUAAGAUGCCUGCUAUUGAAAAACAGCAUCUUUUUAAUUCCCUUAUUAGCUUUUGCAUGCACUUUUAUUGAUUUCUAGUUUUCUGUGGCUUCUAUUUUGUCUCAAAUUGAAUUACCAAAUAUUCCGACCAUUCCAGAAUGACACAAACUCUAAAAUGAAAUGAGAGAAUUAGGUGCUCUUAACACUGUUAUGGGUAUAUGAUGGUGAGAAUUUGGCCUUGCUGCUGGAGUAAGAGGCCGUGAUUUUUGGGUUUAGCUUUUUUCCAUGUGCUUAGGGUAAGUUUAUACUGCAGUCACAGAUGUGGCUAAUGUAUGUGUAUCUGAACAAGUAGCAAUUUGGGCAGAAGGACCACAUAAAUAAAUUCCUAUUAGCUGAAUUUCCUGCAGUCUAGACUUCCUCCACCAUGUUGCAGCAUUACACUGUAGCCCCAGUAAUAUUCUAAAGAUCAUUAUAAAAAAUGAUGCCUUAAUUGGAAAGCAUUUUAUGUUAGCUGUUAACCUUAACUCUUGACCUGGAUUACAGAAAAUGCCACUGUGCGGGCUGAGUUCCCCUAAGUAGUAUUAAUGCUAGACAGGAAAACUUGAUCUUUAUUUAUCUAAUUUAAAAUUCAGUUCUAGCAAGAUUAGGGCCAUUCACAGAGGGACUUUUAACAGCCAUGCAUAAUUUCACCUUUGAGCCACGCUGCACAAGAAAUGAUGAAAGAAAGGUGACUUUGUGUUUUUCAUUGCCUUGGAGUGGGUGUUCAAUCCCACGACCAGGUGUUUCCUGUGAAGGUCUCAGUAGGCAGCUGAGGUACUGUUAUGUGUAUACAGCUUGACUGCACUUCAUGCUGCAUUAUGAGUCUUCACAAUGUACAGGCUCUGGAGAUGCUGCCAUACGUCAUCUGGCAAUCUUAUCUCCAUGAGUUGUGUUGUUACUAAUCUACAAUUCCUCGAAGAGUAUCAUAUCUAUCUCUUAUCAGAAAAACUCAAAGGCUAUUUCCUUAUCCUCGUUUCACUGUAAAAAGGAAACUCGACCAAGAAAGCAUUAGCACAUCAGCCACAAAUACAUCUUCUAAAACAAAGGUUGAUGUGAGUCAGUGUAGCAUCACUCUGUUUAACCAAACACCAAGUUGCAAAUGAGAGCUGCAGCUGAACUACUGACCAUUCUUGCUCUUUCAGUGCAUUACUGCAGGCCAAAGGGGAGAAAAUGAGAAAAAUGCUGAUAUGUUGUGAGAUGGUAAAUGCUCAGUGUGUUUUGUAGAGGCUAUGCCUAUCUUGAGCCAUAUUCUGAUAACAUAAAACAGCUCUAAUAGUCUUUUCCUUUUGAGAAGAGACACCGAAAACACCAAGGCCUGCUGCAUGUUGCUUUGUGUUGUGAUCUGUGUCUCACUGUCUUGAAUUUUACCAGGAUACCAGUUGCUUAUUCUCACAGCCUCUUGCAGAUCCUUUUGCUGUUCUGUAGCACAGUGGCAGCAUGCAUGUGGUGAAGAAGAGAGUGGUCAGUUCCAGUGUCUGCCUUACUAGUGGGUGAUGCUUGUAGUAUAAACCUUUGUACCAUAAUUUUUUUCUUGCUGAAAUUCUUGGAUAUAGGAAGAAACCUAACAUUUACCUUUCUGCCCUGUUUUUCACAAGGUAUAUGGGUUAAAACAAAUUUACUAGAAAUACAGUCAUACAUAUUAAUAUUGGAGCCUGUAUUCUGUGUGUAGUCAUGAAUUGUGUUGUAAAGAGUGAGCUCAUUCUUCACAGCUAACUCAUAAAGUGAUUCUAUGAAUUCAUGAUGAACUAAAAUUCUGACUUCUGUUCCUUAAAUUGAGCUGACCUUAUAAAAUUAUACCUGUUAAAGAAACUCCUUAAUGUUCUUCACUUUACAGCACAGCUGCAAGUUUCUCUAAAGUCAUUUGUUGAGAAAAAAAAUCAGUAAUAUCUUCCAGAAUUGAUUUGCUCUUUUGAAAUAUUCUUGCUGAAGUAUGGACAUACGGCACUUUAAAACUCUUCUUCCUUCUCUAGAAUUUAGGACUCCACGUGAGUUGGUAAUCAGAGUUGAAGUCAAUGUCCAGUUAUUCACAGAAACCCUUUGUCCCAUAUUGACAGAAUACAGGGGGAAAUAAUGUUCUUCUGUGAUUUGAAGCGUUCUUCUGAGCAAAAUUUUAAAAAUCAAUGCUUAAAAUGGUCUAUAGCAGCAUCAGCAAUCAUUAGGCUUGAAGUUACUGUGACUUUUUUCUUAUUAAGCAGUAAGACAUGAGUAGCUGUAAUCGUCACCCUUACAGCAAGGAACCUCAGAUGCUUACUGAUUACAGAGCUCAGUAAUUGCUGAGGGUCGUUUUGCUAGCAGGAAUUGGGUUUCUUUUUCUCCUAAACUAAGUGAAACAUAAAAUUCUCUGCUUGAAGCCAUGGGGAAGGUGUAAGACAAGCAGGUUGAGCUUUUCGUGUAAGUGUGAAGUCACUUCGUCGAAGUGAACGCAAGACUUGAAUCGUGUGGUGCUGUUGGUGCUCUAGUUUAAUUGGUCACUCUUUUGCUGCACAGGUGUUAGAGGUAAACACAGAAUAGCCUAAUGAGCACUCUUGCAAAAGAAAAAGAAGUCGUGUUAAAUAUUCAGAUGCUGUCCUUGCUAUCCAGCUCAAGUCUUCACUAGGCAGGUAGAGCUAUAUGGAGAUUUCCUUGUAAAAGAACAUUGUGCUAACAGGUGUCACCUAGAAAACUUCACCUUACGGCCUUAGGAUUGAGUGAAAGAUUUAGAAAGAGGCAUGAAAUCAGGGCAUCAUGGAGAUCUGGGCAUUUUCCCUCAAAAGUGGUAACUCUCCUUAAUAAGGUUCCUACCCAUUUUCAGGCAUCCUGACCAUAGGCAUCUGAUAUGUUUGGGAAGUUCUGAAUUGUUGCUGUCACUCUUUGCUGACUGCAGGACAUCAUUCUCCUGGGCACUGCUCUUCCAUUAUCUCUGAGGUUUUGGACUGAUUUCCUGUGCUUGUGUGCUCUGGUGCUCUGAUCUUUCCUCACGUCUGCAUCAUGAAUUACAAACAUACGUAACGACUCUGUCUGCCUCCUGUCAGCUCCAGCAAAGCAGAUGGUGAUCUAAGCAAAGCCUGCUGGGGUAGAGCUGUCUAAGAAGAUGGGGAGGGGGGGAAUACUUGUGUUUUUUUCUGCUGUUCUGGAAUUUUUGAGCGGCAACAGAAAUGUGGGAGAUGAAGUUCCGGACUGAGUCUCAAACAGAAGGUUAUUUCAUAUGGAAAAAUAUUUUUAUAUUACAUUUGUACAAAAUUUUCCCUAUUUUGGUCUCCCCAAAUUUUUAAGGAUAUGCACAUUGCUCAAACUUGAUUUCUUUUGCAGGAUGUUUUAAAAUGUGUGUUAUGUUUGCUUAUGUAUUGCAAAUGUAAAGCUAAGUUUUGCAUGUCUAAUAAACAUGCACUGUGGCAGUAUGUGUUUUGUUUGGCUAACUUGAAGUCAUUGCUUCUUAAUGAAUAUGGAAGGGAACUUGAGUCGUUGUGACUGUCUCUUGAGCAUAAAUGAAUGUGUGGAGCGUGUUUAUUUAAAAAGGGCUUAACUAAGUAAUGACAAGGAAUACUUGCUGAUGACAAAGGUUAGAGUUAAAGCUUAGUUUAGUAUAUGGUGUUCUCAGGAUUUUUUUAACGUUGUGAUCUUAAAAUAAUCAAGAUUUUUUUGUCAUCUUUUGGCUAUGGACACUCAUACUGGUGUAAAAUGGGCUUAAGACGUGGUAACAGCAGUCUGAUACUUACAUCUCUGUGAGAUGAGAGUCUGAGUGUUUGUGUGGGAAUGUAUUUAAAUACUUGUGCCACAGUUAGUUCUUACAGUGAACGUAAGGAUAGUUUUUGAAGAGGACUGAGAAUAGCUUCAAGCUUCUACAUUUAUGGACUUUUAGAAUUUCUAGGAGCUUUGUUUUACCUGUGGUAGCACUGAAGAACAGAUGGUUACAUCUCUAGGGGACCUGCUGGGAGCAUUUUCAGCUUUUAGGGACUGGCUUUAGGCAUCUCCACUUGUGAAUGUGUGUUGGUGUUUAGUUGCAAACUUUUUGCUUCCUUUUGAGCUGUUUUGCAAGUUGGAUUGUUUCAGGUGCAAAGGGAAAUGUAUUUUUCUAGAAGAAUGAAUGUAUCUGGGCUUUGUAUACUAAAGCGUUUAAUGAACAUGAAAGUCUGUCCUCUGAAAUAUAUUUCAAAAAUGUCUGAAAUGUGCUUCGCUGAAAAAAAAAAAAAAAAAAAAAAUCCUGAAUGUGCACUUCUACAUUUAAAUGGAAAGAAGUCCAAACACAAGGUGAAUGGGAUUCCAAAAUGUCUUUUCUACAGGCAAUAAGUAUUAAUUAUUUAAUGUAAGUUAUGUUAGACAUUUGGAGUAUGAUGAUAUCUUAUGUUAAUUUAAAGAAAAAUGUAUAUAAGUGGGAGGGGACUGAUCUUAGAAAGUAUUGUUGUAUAUCUCUGAAAUCCAGAUUUCUAAGCUGAGUCUGUAUUUGCUGGCACUGAUCAUGUCCUGGCUAUUGAAAACCUGGACAAGAGUGAACAAUACACCUUUCUUUGUAAAUGGAACUUGGCAAUAAAGAUGGUGUUACUGAGAACCUUCUUCCCUUUCAUGUUCUGUUGCUAGAUUAGAUACACAAGGACGUCCAAUGGCAGUGAAAUGCACAACUUGCAGAAGUGUGCUCUUGUUAAGAAGAAUGGUGCAUGAGAGUUGGGCAUAUUAAUCUUCGAGCUGAAAACUGAAAUAGCCAAGCUGCUACGUGGAACU